This 359-nucleotide ribosomal RNA is filed under the name uncultured bacterium. Its description in RNAcentral is "bacterial SSU rRNA". It matches the Rfam family "Bacterial small subunit ribosomal RNA", at positions 8 to 334 of the family's 1533-position model. The record is from RNAcentral.
AGGGUUCGAUUAUGGCUCAGGACGAACGCUGGCGGCGUGCUUAACACAUGCAAGUCGAACGGAGCUAUCUCACCGAAACGGAUUUAAGCUUGCUUAUUGAAGGAUCACCGAGAUAACUUAGUGGCGGACGGGUGAGUAACGCGUGAGGAACCUGCCUUUCAGAGGGGGACAACAGUUGGAAACGACUGCUAAUACCGCAUGACACAUCGGAGCGGCAUCGCUUUGAUGUCAAAGAUUUAUCGCUGAAAGAUGGCCUCGCGUCUGAUUAGAUAGUUGGCGGGGUAACGGCCCACCAAGUCGACGAUCAGUAGCCGGACUGAGAGGUUGAACGGCCACAUUGGGACUGAGACACGGCCCAG